Molecule: long non-coding RNA, 766 nt
Organism: Lactuca sativa (garden lettuce)
Lineage: Eukaryota; Viridiplantae; Streptophyta; Magnoliopsida; Asterales; Asteraceae
Source: RefSeq, a predicted model, not a curated record
CCUAUCGGAUUGUGCAACGUGUAUUCAUUUGUUACAAAUAAUUAUGAUUUAAAUACUAAUUAAAUUAAUAGGAUUAGGACUAGACGGUAAUUUUACCUUUUAUAUAUUGACUACGGUUACAAAUCAAUAUAACUGUGACAUGUUCCGAUUUCAUGGAGUUAACUCACCAUUUUCCCCCGCUUGCCCUAGUUUUUUCACCCAUGCCUUCUGAAAUCAAACGACAUCUCGAUUUACCAUCGGUCUUCAACAUCAGUCUCCACUUCGACCACCGCUCGACCCCUUCGACCAAUGCACCACCUCCAAUCAUGACUUCUGAAAUCAAACGAAAGCCCUUCAUUCAUGAUGUCUUCAAUGUCAAUGUCUUCCUACACCGCCCUUCGCGACUACAUUCCAAGUGACCACAGUUGGACAUAGUCGUCGUUUACCAUCGUCGUUCGCUAUUGUCGUCUGUCGGCUACACAUGUCUCUCUAUAGGUCCAGGUGAAAACCUACUUCAAAUUCUUAAUUGAUAAAUAACAAUCCAUCAUUCUUGUAGAUAUCAACAUGAUGUGUAAAGAUGAGCCAACUAAGGUUAUAAGAAUGUCGGAUAACAAAUGUUUCGGCUCAAGUCCAACCAUUAUUAUCGGUUUAUUUCUCCAUCAAUAUUAAUUUCUCAAAAUUGUUUCAUUUACAGGCUCGUUGUUGCCAAUUUCAUAUCUUACAUUGAUAAACUUAAGUGUUGCCUCGUGGAUAAGUUAGAAUAAAUCAAAAUAAUGUACUUUGGCCA